This 391-nucleotide ribosomal RNA is filed under the name Chrysophyceae sp. Its description in RNAcentral is "partial small subunit ribosomal RNA". It matches the Rfam family "Eukaryotic small subunit ribosomal RNA", at positions 582 to 975 of the family's 1831-position model. Lineage: Eukaryota; Chrysophyceae. The record is from RNAcentral.
AUUCCAGCUCCAAUAGCGUAUACUAAAGUUGUUGCAGUUAAAAAGCUCGUAGUUGAAUUUCUGGUCGUGGCAAUCGGUCAGCCCCUCACGGGGUUCGUACCAGGUUGCUGCGUCCAUCCUCGGGGAGAGCACAUCGGGCAUUCAGUUGUCUGGUGUGGGAUCCUCGUCAUUUACUGUGAGCAAAAUAGAGUGUUCAAAGCAGGCUUAGGCCGUUGAAUACAUUAGCAUGGAAUAAUAAGAUAGGACCUUGGUCUAUUUUGUUGGUUUGCGUUCCAAGGUAAUGAUUAAUAGGGAUAGUUGGGGGUAUUCGUAUUCAAUUGUCAGAGGUGAAAUUCUUGGAUUUAUGGAAGACGAACUACUGCGAAAGCAUUUACCAAGGAUGUUUUCAUCA